RNAcentral lists this long non-coding RNA (266 nucleotides) under Elaeis guineensis (African oil palm). RNAcentral's name for it is "long non-coding RNA (EGUI_LNC030249)". The record is from RNAcentral. Lineage: Eukaryota; Viridiplantae; Streptophyta; Magnoliopsida; Arecales; Arecaceae.
UGGAGAUCUCCUGAUUGAUCAUCGAACCUCUGAUGAGAGCUGGGAGGAUCCUAUCGGCUCAGAUCGGAGGAUAAGAGUUGGAAAGAUCUGGAUCCUACUGGAAGAUGAUCGGAUCCGACCGGAGGAUGAAAAAAAAAGAUCGACUGGAUAUGACUGGAGGAUGAGAGCUGGGAGGAUCGAUCGAUCGGAUUUAACCGGAGGAUGAGAGUUAGGAGGAUCCAGAUCUAUCAGAUGAGAGCUGGUAGGAUCCGACUGGAGGAUGAUCG